AUUGAACGCUGGCGGCAUGCCUUACACAUGCAAGUCGAACGGCAGCACGGGAGCUUGCUCCUGGUGGCGAGUGGCGAACGGGUGAGUAAUACAUCGGAACGUACCCUGAAGUGGGGGAUAACGUAGCGAAAGUUACGCUAAUACCGCAUAUUCUGUGAGCAGGAGAGAGGGGGAUCGCAAGACCUCUUGCUUUAGGAGCGGCCGAUGUCGGAUUAGCUAGUUGGUGAGGUAAAGGCUCACCAAGGCGACGAUCCGUAGCGGGUCUGAGAGGAUGGAUCCGCCACACUGGGACUGAGACACGGCCCAGACUCCUACGGGAGGCAGCAGUGGGAAUUUUGGACAAUGGGCGCAAGCCUGAUCCAGCCAUGCCGCGUGAGUGAAGAAGGCC
Molecule: ribosomal RNA, 388 nt
Filed under: uncultured bacterium
Lineage: Bacteria
Description: bacterial SSU rRNA
Rfam family: Bacterial small subunit ribosomal RNA
Source: RNAcentral